Molecule: unclassified non-coding RNA, 316 nt
Filed under: fungal sp.
Lineage: Eukaryota; Fungi
Also listed under: 1 other name
Description: partial internal transcribed spacer region
Rfam family: Eukaryotic small subunit ribosomal RNA (bases 1-46)
Source: RNAcentral
AAGUCGUAACAAGGUUUCCGUAGGUGAACCUGCGGAAGGAUCAUUAUCACGUUAUCCACGUUAUUACCAACCGUGAACUGUUCGGUCCGCAUAAGAAAUUAUGUGUUAGACCAAAACCCCAAUUUUGAGAAGUUCCGUUCGUUCGAACGAGCAGCUCUUUUUUGGGUGAUUUGAACCAUUAACCAAUUGAACAAAUUAUAAUACUUUUUAUGUACUUACUAGUUGUUUCUUACCUUUGUUCACUCAGAGGAAGAAAUGUUAUAAAUACGUAACAUGAAAAAAAGAACAACUCUUAGCAACGGAUAUCUAGGUUCUC